GUGGUUCGAGGAUUCAUACUGUCAUGCUGACUGAAUGCUGGCCUCCGUGUGCGGUAGUGAGUGACAUGGAUGUAACUGCUGCACUCACUGCUGUGUCUGCCAGGUGGUGCCACUCACGAUGGUGCUGACGUCCGCAGGCCUCGACGUGACGCAAAAGUCCCACAAUGACGUCACCACACAUUUGACGCACGAUGUGACGAUGUCGCUGUCAUUGGCGUGUUUCCUUGGAGACAACAAUGAUGGCGGCGAUUCACUUCUGCGGUUGUAAAGGAUCUAUUCUCCUGUUUACUCAAGGUGUACCACAACAAAUCUACAGUCAUCCGCAUUCAGGACAGACGUGAGAAGCCUCACAGUACCAAUGUGUAACGAUGAGCUUACGUUCUCCAUGCUGCAGCCAAAGGGAGAACAGGAAAAAUUACGUUUGCAUCACCAUGACGUCCAGUGACGACUCCGUCUAAAGCCAAAGCAGAUACGAGAGCACUUGAAGGAUGAAUAUAGACAACCUGGGAAUCAACUAUAGUGAGAUAUCCUUCUUGUGAGUCCUUGGCAGCAUUGCGGAAGAAACCACUGAUGGCUUUUUGAACGCUUGCUGGGUUCUUGCCAGAUAACACAACAUCUAGCUUGUGCCUACAAAAAUAUAUGUAGGUCUAAAUUUCCAUUUUUUUUUUUUUUACAAACUAAACCAUUUUUAGAGGUAUGUCUCAUUUGAUGCUUGCUAUGUCUGAAAAUCUCCAUUAGUGGUAAUCAACAUUUUUUGUGAUCUGCAAAAUGGUAUAUCUGUGGAUCUUAAUUAUUUACUUGUCUGCAGAUAUACCAUUUUGCAGUUAACUUUAUGCAGCCUUCGUAGUGUUUAAAAGUUGUAGAACUUAGCGCGGUAACAAGUUUCAUGGCUGGCAAAGAUUGAAACGAAGCAAGAUGGAAGAACAGGAGAUAGAAGGUUGAGAGUCGCUUAUGACAAUGUGCUAUUUAUAUAUGUAGAUAUGUAGGUUGAGUAACCUUUGUCAUUCUGUGGCUUAUCUGGUGUAGUCAUUCGUUUUAUAUAUAUAUAAAGUACACACAUGUAUUGAUGUAAGUUAUGUGAAAUAUACUGCCCUCCCCUCAAAUCAACACAAGCUCCCGAAUAACAGAGAAUUGUAAGCCCACGUACAGGUCUGUGUAAUCUGUGGUAAGACAGAACACAUGUGGGACACAGUGCUUUGUCUGUGACGUGUGUUCGUCCCCAACAGAUACUUUUUUCUUCUGUUUACAUUAGCUGCUUCAAGAUACAUCAAAAAGCAACUGUGAGUAAACUAGGCUAGGAUCUGUAGCAACGUUCAGUUAAAUAGAUUGGGAUCGUUAGGAAAAGUGUUUUACUAAUAUUUGUAUUCUCAUCAUCGUCAUCGUCAUCCUCACCUCCAUAAUUUUUGUUGUCGCUGAUACAUGCUCACAGCGUAAAUAGUAAACAGUUUAAGGGAAAGACAACCUCUCAGUGUGAGUUGUGCAAAAGGAUACAGCAUUUAUCUCCCUUUCUACACAAAUGUCUGUAUUUGUAAAUUAAAUCCUUGAUGACCAGUUGAAAAAUUAUAUAAAGCUUGUUACUUUGAAAAUAAAGAGCGCAUGUACUUAUUACGUACGUAUGAGUGUAUACAUAAAAGUGUUUUAGUGUAUGUGUAUCUAUGUAUCCAUUCAUGAAUGCACUAAUAAUGAUCGGGAGCCUUUCGAAAUCAGUGGUAUCUGAAUGAAGAAUCGCUCACAUAAAUAUGAAACUGUAUGGCCGUAUGUAUGAUG
Molecule: long non-coding RNA, 1767 nt
Filed under: Pomacea canaliculata
Lineage: Eukaryota; Metazoa; Mollusca; Gastropoda; Architaenioglossa; Ampullariidae
Description: uncharacterized LOC112564773
Source: RNAcentral